AUUGAACGCUGGCGGCAGGCCUAACACAUGCAAGUCGAACGGUAACAGGAAGAAGCUUGCUUCUUUGCUGACGAGUGGCGGACGGGUGAGUAAUGUCUGGGAAACUGCCUGAUGGAGGGGGAUAACUACUGGAAACGGUAGCUAAUACCGCAUAACGUCGCAAGACCAAAGAGGGGGACCUCCGGGCCUCUUGCCAUCGGAUGUGCCCAGAUGGGAUUAGCUAGUAGGUGGGGUAACGGCUCACCUAGGCGACGAUUCCUAGCUGGUCUGAGAGGAUGACCAGCCACAGUGGGACGGAGACACGACCCGUCCCCCUACGGGGGGCAGCAGGGGGAAAUAUUCAAAAAGGGGGGAAGGCUUGAUGCGGCCAUCCCGGGGGGAGGAGGAAGGCCUUCGGUUUGUAAAGUCCUUUCAGGGGGGAGGAAGGGAGUAAAUUUAACCCCUUUGCUAAUUGACCUACCCCGAAAAAAAACCCCCGGCUAACCCCGUC
This 490-nucleotide ribosomal RNA is filed under the name uncultured bacterium. RNAcentral describes it as "partial 16S ribosomal RNA". It matches the Rfam family "Bacterial small subunit ribosomal RNA", at positions 30 to 507 of the family's 1533-position model. The record is from RNAcentral.